Molecule: ribosomal RNA, 495 nt
Filed under: uncultured bacterium
Lineage: Bacteria
Description: partial 16S ribosomal RNA
Rfam family: Bacterial small subunit ribosomal RNA
Source: RNAcentral
UGAACGCUGGCGGCGUGCCUAAUACAUGCAAGUCGAGCGAACGGACGAGAAGCUUGCUUCUCUGAUGUUAGCGGCGGACGGGUGAGUAACACGUGGAUAACCUACCUAUAAGACUGGGAUAACUUCGGGAAACCGGAGCUAAUACCGGAUGAUAUUUUGAACCGCAUGGUUCAAAAGUGAAAGACGGUCUUGCUGUCACUUAUAGAUGGAUCCGCGCUGCAUUAGCUAGUUGGUAAGGUAACGGCUUACCAAGGCAACGAUGCAUAGCCGACCUGAGAGAGUGAUCGGCCACACUGGAACUGAGACACGGUCCAGACUCCUACGGGAGGCAGCAGUAGGGAAUCUUCCGCAAUGGGCGAAAGCCUGACGGAGCAACGCCGCGUGAGUGAUGAAGGUCUUCGGAUCGUAAAACUCUGUUAUUAGGGAAGAACAUAUGUGUAAGUAACUGUGCACAUCUUGACGGUACCUAAUCAGAAAGCCACGGCUAACUACGUG